RNAcentral lists this transfer-messenger RNA (371 nucleotides) under Arenivirga flava. It matches the Rfam family "transfer-messenger RNA". Rfam says of the family: Bacterial tmRNA, also known as 10Sa RNA or SsrA, is named for its dual tRNA and mRNA-like properties. Its role is to liberate the mRNA from a stalled ribosome. Lineage: Bacteria; Bacillati; Actinomycetota; Actinomycetes; Micrococcales; Microbacteriaceae. The record is from Rfam by way of RNAcentral.
GGGGAUGAUCGGUUUCGACAUCGCCUGGAUGCGCACGAGAAGCGGGCCGAGGACGCGGGGUUAUCUCGUUAACGCCCUCCGCAAACCAAUAGGUGCCAAUGCUAAGCGCACCGACUUCGCCCUCGCCGCCUAAGGCCAGCGCGUAAGUCCGUCAGACCGGGUUCGCCUCCGCCCCGGUUCCUGGCGUCAUCUAGGAGGCUCGCUGCGCGGCGACGCCUGAGCGUCGCGCGGGACUUGUACUCGGGCUGGGCCUGUCGAUCCAGGGGCUCAUGGCAAGGAUCGGGGCCGAGUAGAACGCCUUCAUGAGCUGCGCCCGGAGAAGACGUGCAAACUCAGCGAUGGACGGGGGUUCAAUUCCCCCAUCUCCACCA